CGGCACGGAGGAGGAAGCAGCGAUGGGGGACAUCGUCGCUGCCUCAGGUAAGUUACUGAAGGGGUUUUCACCUCUUCAGCAACCGGGGAUUGGGAGGGAGAGGGGACCUGCAGUGCCAGGAAAACGGAUUCUUUUCCUGGCACUGGAGUUUCCCUUUAAGUAAACUAGCUGGCAUCGAUGUAGUUAUGUUGAAUGGGUAAACUAUCUGUGCAAAAUCAUUACCAGGUGGAAAUGUAUUUUUCUGGUGCAUAAUGUAUAGUUAUUAUUUUGUUGUGUUAAACAUUCUAGAUCCAGUAUUCCUACCUUUCAUGAUGAAUACAAGCACUGGCCAUUUGUCAUUAUUAUUAUUAGCUUUAGUAAUCAUUGAUGGCUUACCAGUAAAUACCAUCUUUACCUAAACCUCUGACAGUGGCGGAGACAGAACCUAAAUACAGGUGGGGCAUGGGUAGAUUAUUUAAAGGAGCACUCAAUGCACCUUAACCACUGUAGGCUGCUGUAGUUGUUAUGGUGCCAGGAGUGCCCUGGUGCCUAUUCAGAAAAGGUAGACAUACUGGUUUGUUUCAACACCCCAAAGUCAGUGUUGUGCUAAAUUAG
Molecule: non-coding RNA, 594 nt
Organism: Pelobates cultripes (western spadefoot toad)
Lineage: Eukaryota; Metazoa; Chordata; Amphibia; Anura; Pelobatidae
Source: the annotation of a GenBank genome assembly